This 1218-nucleotide ribosomal RNA is filed under the name Ornithodoros parkeri. RNAcentral describes it as "16S ribosomal RNA". The stretch from base 970 to 1128 matches the Rfam family "Archaeal large subunit ribosomal RNA", at positions 2542 to 2701 of the family's 2987-position model. Lineage: Eukaryota; Metazoa; Arthropoda; Arachnida; Ixodida; Argasidae. The record is from RNAcentral.
AGUAAGAUGAAGAUUGUUGAAGUAAUUAUUUAUUAGGGACUUUUUUUAAAAAUUUGUAUGAAAUAAUGUUUAAACGAUAGAUUAGUGUACUGUUAUGGAACUUUGAAAAAUUUAUAGUUUUUUUAAAAAAAGUUGAAUAUAUUUGUACCUUUUGUAUUAGGGUUUAAUUAAAAUUAGUAAAGACUUUAUUUAUCCCGAAUUAUUUGGAGCUACCCAAUGAAUUUUUUAAACGUUUUAUGGUUUAGAUGAAGUUUUGGUAGAAAUGAAAUUUUAUUCGAAAAAUAUGAUAUCUGGUUAAAUGAUGAAAAACUAUACGUUUUUAUAUAAUUUAUGUUUAAUUUAAUAAAUUUAUAUUUUUUAUUUUUUGGGAUAAGCUUUAAAAUUUUAUAUAAAAUUUUAAAGAUAUAAUAAGAGGUUUAAAAUUUACUUUUUUGUAAUAAAAAAAUUAAUUUAAAUGGUGGAUUUAUUUUUUUUUUCUUUAUUUAAUAAAGAUUAAGGGUGUUAAUGUUAAAAUUAGUAUAAUUUUUGUUAGUUUUUAUAAUUGAACUAAAUUUAACUAUUUUUUAAAAGUUUAGUAACUCGGCAAAUUUUAGCUUCGAAUGUUUAUCAAAAACAUAGUAUUUUGAUGUUAAUGAAAUAUAAAACCUGCUCAAUGUUUUAUAAAUUGCUGUGGUAUUUUGACUAUGCAAAGGUAUUGAAAUAAGGUCUUUAAUGGAUGCUAAGAGAAUGGUUUAACGGGGGUUAACUUUCUUAACUUUUAUAUUAGAAGUUAAUUUAAAAAUGAAAAAGUUUUUAUAAAAUUUUGGGACAAGAAGACCCUAUGAAUUUUUUUAAAAAAUAUAUUUUUAGCUAUGUUUAAUAAUGGAGAAGUUGUUUUUUAAUUGAUUGGGGUGGUUUUUAAAGAUUCAGAAUCUUUAAAAAGAUUAAAUUGAUCCAUUAAUAAUGAUUGGUUGAAUAAAAUACUCUAGGGAUAACAGCGUUAUUAUUUUGGAUAGUUCAUAUAGAUAAAAUAGAUUGCGACCUCGAUGUUGGAUUAAGAUACUUUUAUAAUGAAGAAGUUAUAAUAAGAAGUUUGCUCAACUUUUAAAUUCUUACAUGAUCUGAGUUCAGACCGGCGUAAGCCAGGUUGGUUUCUAUCUAGAUUUUAAAGUUAUUUUCAUAGUACGAAAGGAAUUGAUUUAUAUAAAUUUUUUAUUAAAGUUUUUAAUUUAGAGUGUA